RNAcentral lists this ribosomal RNA (439 nucleotides) under Salmonella enterica subsp. enterica serovar Give. RNAcentral describes it as "bacterial SSU rRNA". It matches the Rfam family "Bacterial small subunit ribosomal RNA", at positions 1106 to 1533 of the family's 1533-position model. Lineage: Bacteria; Pseudomonadati; Pseudomonadota; Gammaproteobacteria; Enterobacterales; Enterobacteriaceae. The record is from RNAcentral.
UAUCCUUUGUUGCCAGCGGUCCGGCCGGGAACUCAAAGGAGACUGCCAGUGAUAAACUGGAGGAAGGUGGGGAUGACGUCAAGUCAUCAUGGCCCUUACGACCAGGGCUACACACGUGCUACAAUGGCGCAUACAAAGAGAAGCGACCUCGCGAGAGCAAGCGGACCUCAUAAAGUGCGUCGUAGUCCGGAUUGGAGUCUGCAACUCGACUCCAUGAAGUCGGAAUCGCUAGUAAUCGUGGAUCAGAAUGCCACGGUGAAUACGUUCCCGGGCCUUGUACACACCGCCCGUCACACCAUGGGAGUGGGUUGCAAAAGAAGUAGGUAGCUUAACCUUCGGGAGGGCGCUUACCACUUUGUGAUUCAUGACUGGGGUGAAGUCGUAACAAGGUAACCGUAGGGGAACCUGCGGUUGGAUCACCUCCUUACCUGAAAGAAGC